CGAUUCUGGCUCAGGAUGAACGCUGGCGGCGUGCUUAACACAUGCAAGUCGAACGGAGUUUAUAUGAAACCUAGUGAUUAUAAACUUAGUGGCGGACGGGUGAGUAACGCGUGGGUAACCUGCCUUAUACCGGGGGACAACAGUUAGAAAUGACUGCUAAUACCGCAUAAGCGCACGGAGUCGCAUGACUUUGUGUGAAAAACUCCGGUGGUAUAAGAUGGACCCGCGUCUGAUUAGCCAGUUGGUGAGGUAACGGCCCACCAAAGCAACGAUCAGUAGCCGGCCUGAGAGGGUGAACGGCCACAUUGGGACUGAGACACGGCCCAAACUCCUACGGGAGGCAGCAGUGGGGAAUAUUGGACAAUGGGGGAAACCCUGAUCCCAGCGACGCCGCGUGAGUGAAGAAGUAUUUCGGUAUGUAAAGCUCUAUCAGCAAGGAAGAUAAUGACGGUACUUGACUAAGAAGCCCCGGCUAACUACGUGCCAGCCGCCGC
Molecule: ribosomal RNA, 494 nt
Filed under: uncultured bacterium
Lineage: Bacteria
Description: bacterial SSU rRNA
Rfam family: Bacterial small subunit ribosomal RNA
Source: RNAcentral